This 651-nucleotide long non-coding RNA is filed under the name Pan troglodytes (chimpanzee). RNAcentral describes it as "long non-coding RNA NONPTRT000304". Lineage: Eukaryota; Metazoa; Chordata; Mammalia; Primates; Hominidae. The record is from RNAcentral.
CAGAAUUCCCACAUGUUGUGGGAGGGACCCAGUGGGAGGUAAAUGAAUCAUGGGGGCCGGUCUUUCCCAUGCUAGUCUCAUGAUAGUGAAUAAGCCUCACAAGAUAUGAUGGGUUUAUCAGGGGUUUCUGCUUUUGCUUCCUCCUCAUCUUCUCUUGCUACCACCAUGUAAGAAGUGCCUUUCAGCUCCCACCAUAAUUCUGACAUCUCCUCAGCCAUGUGGAACUACGAAGUCUUGCUCUGUCGCCCAGGAUGAUCUUGGCUCACUGCAACCUCCACCUUCCAGGUUCAAGCGAUUCUCUCACCUCAGCCUCCUGAGUAGCUGAGACUACAGGAGCCCACCACCACGCCUGGCUAAUUUUCAUUUUUGUUGUUGUUGUUGUUAUUUUGUAGAGAUGGGGUUUCACCAUGUUGACCAGGCUGGCCUAAAACCCCUGAUCUCAAGUAAUCUGCCUGCCUCAGCCUCCAAAGUGCUGGAAUUACAGGCGUAAGCCACUGUGCCAGGCCCAUUUCAUGCUAUUCUUUAAAUUUGCUUCCUUUGUAAAUGAAGACACUAUUAAUCAGUUUAAUUUUAAUGUGUCCAAUAGAAACUAAAUGCUAACUAUCGAUUGCAUGCUUAAUUACUUUUGCCUUUGUCUUAACUCUACUGUUC